UACGAAGGGUGCAGGCGUUACUCGGAAUUACUGGGCGUAAAGCGCGUGUAGGCGGCUUUGCAAGUCGGGUGUGAAAGCCCUCAGCUCAACUGAGGAAGUGCGCCCGAAACUGCAGAGCUUGAGUGCCGGAGAGGGUGGCGGAAUUCCCCAAGUAGAGGUGAAAUUCGUAGAUAUGGGGAGGAACACCGGUGGCGAAGGCGGCCACCUGGACGGUAACUGACGCUGAGACGCGAAAGCGUGGGGAGCAAACAGG
This 253-nucleotide ribosomal RNA is filed under the name uncultured bacterium. RNAcentral's name for it is "partial 16S ribosomal RNA". It matches the Rfam family "Bacterial small subunit ribosomal RNA", at positions 524 to 776 of the family's 1533-position model. The record is from RNAcentral.